Molecule: long non-coding RNA, 213 nt
Filed under: Glycine max (soybean)
Lineage: Eukaryota; Viridiplantae; Streptophyta; Magnoliopsida; Fabales; Fabaceae
Description: long non-coding RNA (GMAX_LNC003614)
Source: RNAcentral
UAAUUUCUAAGUAUUGCUGAUUCUAGUGUUAUGUGUGUCCAUGUCUUCAAUAAUGAAUAAGUAAACAGGUUCAAGAUCUGUCCUAGCUUUGGAAUUCAGAUUACAUGGUUUGUUAUAUUGCUGAUAAAUGUUUUUUUUAGCAGAGUAAAUAUCUUUUUUUUCUGAUUUAAAAACGUAAUUGCAACUAGAAGUGAGAUGAUAUGUAGAUUUUUG